CGCGGGGUAGAGCAGUUGGUAGCUCGUCGGGCUCAUAACCCGGAGGUCGGAGGUUCAAGUCCUCCCCCCGCAACCA
This 76-nucleotide transfer RNA is filed under the name Clostridiales bacterium. RNAcentral's name for it is "tRNA-Met". It matches the Rfam family "tRNA". From Rfam's summary of the family: Transfer RNA (tRNA) molecules are approximately 80 nucleotides in length. Their secondary structure includes four short double-helical elements and three loops (D, anti-codon, and T loops). Lineage: Bacteria; Bacillati; Bacillota; Clostridia; Eubacteriales. RNAcentral also lists the same sequence under 4 other names. The record is from RNAcentral.